RNAcentral lists this ribosomal RNA (452 nucleotides) under Vibrio parahaemolyticus. Its description in RNAcentral is "partial 23S ribosomal RNA". It matches the Rfam family "Bacterial large subunit ribosomal RNA", at positions 1446 to 1883 of the family's 2925-position model. Lineage: Bacteria; Pseudomonadati; Pseudomonadota; Gammaproteobacteria; Vibrionales; Vibrionaceae. The record is from RNAcentral.
UCUUACAAUUGCGAUGGGGGGACGGAGAAGGCUAGGUGGGCCUGGCGACGGUUGUCCAGGUUCAAGUGCGUAGGCUUAAGAGUUAGGUAAAUCCGGCUCUUUUUAAGGCUGAGACACGACGUCGAGCACCUACGGGUGUGAAGUCAUUGAUGCCAUGCUUCCAGGAAAAGCCUCUAAGCUUCAGAUUGUAAGGAAUCGUACCCCAAACCGACACAGGUGGUCGGGUAGAGAAUACCAAGGCGCUUGAGAGAACUCGGGUGAAGGAACUAGGCAAAAUGGUACCGUAACUUCGGGAGAAGGUACGCUCUUGAUGGUGAAGUCCCUUGCGGAUGGAGCUGACGAGAGUCGCAGAUACCAGGUGGCUGCAACUGUUUAUUAAAAACACAGCACUGUGCAAAAUCGUAAGAUGACGUAUACGGUGUGACGCCUGCCCGGUGCCGGAAGGUUAAUUG